UACGUAGGGCGCAAGCGUUGUCCGGAAUUAUUGGGCGUAAAGAGCUCGUAGGCGGUUUGUCACGUCGGAUGUGAAAGCCCGGGGCUUAACCCCGGGUCUGCAUUCGAUACGGGCAGACUGGAGUGUGGUAGGGGAGAUCGGAAUUCCUGGUGUAGCGGUGAAAUGCGCAGAUAUCAGGAGGAACACCGAUGGCGAAGGCAGUGGGCUGGGCCGGCACUGACGCUGAGGAGCGAAAGCGUGGGGAGCGAACAGG
Molecule: ribosomal RNA, 253 nt
Filed under: uncultured bacterium
Lineage: Bacteria
Description: partial 16S ribosomal RNA
Rfam family: Bacterial small subunit ribosomal RNA
Source: RNAcentral